UAGGUCUUUUGGUUAGUUCUCCUAACUAU
RNAcentral lists this non-coding RNA (29 nucleotides) under Mus musculus (house mouse). Lineage: Eukaryota; Metazoa; Chordata; Mammalia; Rodentia; Muridae. The record is from RNAcentral.